AAUUUCAAAAAACGCUCUCUCCCUCUCUCUCUUCCAUCAGAUCUUUCUCUAGGACUCCAUGGCUCAAUCUCCAUGGCUAUAGCUAGCAGCCACCGCGUUCCGCUCCAAUUCCGAUGGUGGUUCCGCUCGAAGGAGAGACCCACUCUUGGGAUAAAAUAUUAGCCUUUGCUGCCCAAAAGUUCAAUAUAUCUUGCCAGAAAAUGUUUUGAAGCAUUCCAUGAUUUAUAUUGUUUUUGUGAGUUAAAAGAUAGAAAACUUGUAUUGAUAUGUUGAAAGAAAGUAAACAAAAAAAAAAAAAAAACUGGUCUGUAUUUGUAAGACAACCAGACGAAACAGAGAAACACAACUCAGGAAAGAGCAUAGCAGCUAAGACACAUUACAUGACAGUGCUGCAUAAAGAAAAGCUUGACAUAAAAACUGCUAAGAAUAUGAAGUGUUGGUACUCUGCCAGGAAAAUAGUAGCUCUAUCAAAGAUGGUCUUCGGUUCUAACUGAAUUUUUUCAAAGUAGAACCUGUUACAAGCAUUCCAUGAUGUAUUGAAGCCAUAUCUUGUUGUCAAUAGGCUAAUUUUCAAUAUCAUUGGAACAUCGAAUGUAUUUUCUAAUUUUGACUCUUAAGGUAGUUUCAUUGUUCAUUUACAAAAACUUUUACAAGGAUUUAGAGUACAAACCAAGAAGAAUGUAAUAAAAUUUAGUUUUUAUUU
Molecule: long non-coding RNA, 703 nt
Organism: Quercus lobata
Lineage: Eukaryota; Viridiplantae; Streptophyta; Magnoliopsida; Fagales; Fagaceae
Exons: 3
Source: RefSeq, a predicted model, not a curated record